Notechis scutatus (mainland tiger snake) is the source of this 105-nucleotide non-coding RNA. The record is from RefSeq and is a predicted model, not a curated record. Lineage: Eukaryota; Metazoa; Chordata; Lepidosauria; Squamata; Elapidae.
GGUUGUAGGAUGGGGAAGCAAUGGGAUUUUGUACUAUCCUUCCCCCAGCAGUGGGGAGGGGAAUGGAGAUUUUACAGUAUCCUUCCCCUGCCACGCCCACCAAGC